Molecule: ribosomal RNA, 253 nt
Filed under: uncultured bacterium
Lineage: Bacteria
Description: partial 16S ribosomal RNA
Rfam family: Bacterial small subunit ribosomal RNA
Source: RNAcentral
UACGUAGGGUGCAAGCGUUAAUCGGAAUUACUGGGCGUAAAGCGUGCGCAGGCGGUUCGCUAAGACAGAUGUGAAAUCCCCGGGCUUAACCUGGGAACUGCAUUUGUGACUGGCGGGCUAGAGUAUGGCAGAGGGGGGUAGAAUUCCACGUGUAGCAGUGAAAUGCGUAGAGAUGUGGAGGAAUACCAAUGGCGAAGGCAGCCCCCUGGGCCAAUACUGACGCUCAUGCACGAAAGCGUGGGGAGCAAACAGG